This 465-nucleotide ribosomal RNA is filed under the name uncultured bacterium. RNAcentral describes it as "partial 16S ribosomal RNA". It matches the Rfam family "Bacterial small subunit ribosomal RNA", at positions 28 to 507 of the family's 1533-position model. The record is from RNAcentral.
GACGAACGCUGGCGGUGUGCUUAACACAUGCAAGUCGAACGGUAAGGCCCUUUCGGGGGUACACGAGUGGCGAACGGGUGAGUAACACGUGUGUAACCUGCCCUCAUCUCUGGGAUAACAGUCGGAAACGGUUGCCUAUACUGGAUUUGAGCCUGCAAGGCAUCUUGUGGGUUGGUAAGAUUUUUUGGUGAGGGAUGGACUUGCGGCCUAUCAGCUUGUUGGUGAGGUAGUGGCUCACCAAGGCUUCGAUGCGUAACUGGACUGAGAGGGCGACCGGCCACAUUGGGACUGAGAUACGGCCCAAGCUCCGACGGGAGGCAGCAGUGGGGAAUAUUGCACAAUGGACGGAAGGCUGAUGCAGCAACGCCUCGGGCGGGAUGACGGCCUUCGGUUUGUAAACCGCUUGUAAUUGUGACGAAGCUUUUUGUGACGUUAGCAGUAGAAGAAGCACCGGCUAACUACGUG